This 433-nucleotide ribosomal RNA is filed under the name uncultured bacterium. RNAcentral describes it as "partial 16S ribosomal RNA". It matches the Rfam family "Bacterial small subunit ribosomal RNA", at positions 29 to 507 of the family's 1533-position model. The record is from RNAcentral.
AACGAACGCUGGCGGCAUGCCUAACACAUGCAAGUCGAACGAGACCUUCGGGUCUAGUGGCGCACGGGUGCGUAACGCGUGGGAACCUGCCCUUAGGUUCGGAAUAACUCCCCGAAAGGGGUGCUAAUACCGGAUAAUGUCUUCGGACCAAAGAUUUAUCGCCUUUGGAUGGGCCGGCGUUGGAUUCGCUAGUUGGUAGGGUAAAAGCCUACCAAGGCGACGAUCCAUAGCUGGUCUGAGAGGAUGAUCAGCCACACUGGGACUGAGACACGGCCCAGACUCCUACGGGAGGCAGCAGUGGGUAAUAUUGGACCAUGGGCGAAAGCCUGAUCCAGCACUGCCGCGUGAGUGAUGAAGGCCUUAGGGUUGUAAAGCUCUUUUACCCGGGAUGAUAAUGACAGUACCGGGAGAAUAAGCUCCGGCUAACUCCGUG